Molecule: ribosomal RNA, 292 nt
Filed under: uncultured bacterium
Lineage: Bacteria
Description: partial 16S ribosomal RNA
Source: RNAcentral
GGACUACAGGGGUAUCUAAUCCUGUUUGCUACCCACGCUUUCGCGUCUCAGUGUCAGGAACGGCCCAGAAGGCCGCCUUCGCCACAGGUAUUCCUCCUAAUAUCUACGAAUUUCACCUCUACACUAGGAAUUCCACCUUCCUCUACCGUCCUCUAGCUAAGCAGUUUCGGAUGCACUUCCUCGGUUGAGCCCAGGGAUUUCACACCCGACUUACCUAACCACCUACACGCGCUUUACGCCCAAUGAUUCCGAACAACGCUUGCACCCUACGUAUUACCGCGGCGGCUGGCAC